This 258-nucleotide ribosomal RNA is filed under the name uncultured bacterium. RNAcentral's name for it is "partial 16S ribosomal RNA". It matches the Rfam family "Bacterial small subunit ribosomal RNA", at positions 793 to 1055 of the family's 1533-position model. The record is from RNAcentral.
GUCCACGCUGUAAACGAUGAUGACUAACCGUCGGCGAUACACUGUCGGUGGCCAAGCGAAAGCGAUAAGUCAUCCACCUGGGGAGUACGACCGCAAGGUUGAAACUCAAAGGAAUUGACGGGGGCCCGCACAAGCGGAGGAACAUGUGGUUUAAUUCGAUGAUACGCGAGGAACCUUACCCGGGCUCGAACGGCAGGGGAAUCACUCAGAGAUGGGGUGAGUCUUCGGACUCCUGUCGAGGUGCUGCAUGGUUGUCGU